RNAcentral lists this ribosomal RNA (484 nucleotides) under uncultured bacterium. RNAcentral's name for it is "partial 16S ribosomal RNA". It matches the Rfam family "Bacterial small subunit ribosomal RNA", at positions 30 to 507 of the family's 1533-position model. The record is from RNAcentral.
AUUGAACGCUGGCGGCAGGCCUAACACAUGCAAGUCGAGCGGAUGAAGGGAGCUUGCGCAUGGAUUCAGCGGCGGACGGGUGAGUAAUGCCUAGGAAUCUGACUGGUAGUGGGGGAUAACGUCCGGAAACGGGAGCUAAUACCGCAUACGUCCUGAGGGAGAAAGUGGGGGAUCUUCGGACAUCACGCUAUCAGAUGAGCCUAGGUCGGAUUUGCCAGUUGGUGGGGUAAAGGCCUACCAAGGCGACGAUCCGUAACUGGUCUGAGAGGAUGAUCAGUCACACUGGAACUGAGACACGGUCCAGACUCCUACGGGAGGCAGCAGUGGGGAAUAUUGGACAAUGGGCGAAAGCCUGAUCCAGCCAUGCCGCGUGUGUGAAGAAGGUCUUCGGAUUGUAAAGCACUGUUAGUUGGGAGGAAGGGCAGUAAGUUAAUACCUUGCUGUUUUGACGUUACCAACAGAAUAAGCACCGGCUAACUUCGUG